GUUCGAUUCUAUUCAACUUAGAAGGGUACUGUUUGGUGAGAUAAUUCGUCUGUAUAAAGGGUACAAACUCCAGGGUAAGGCUAUUGACUCUGUUCGGUAGUUUGUUUGUUUUCAAACUACCGAACUAGACCGCAAGCCCUGAUUCUCUGGAAUUGUUUUGGGCAUGUCUUCGGUCGGUCAAAUAAAUGACUUCCAUAGAAUUUCUGAACCCCUGAACUGAUCUGGGUGAUUUUUGGAUAUGUUGGUCACCCAGAUCAGGGCUAUCAGGGGAUGUAACAUUGUGUUUUGGGGGUACUUUU
Pelobates cultripes (western spadefoot toad) is the source of this 299-nucleotide non-coding RNA. Lineage: Eukaryota; Metazoa; Chordata; Amphibia; Anura; Pelobatidae. The record is from the annotation of a GenBank genome assembly.